Molecule: ribosomal RNA, 408 nt
Filed under: uncultured bacterium
Lineage: Bacteria
Description: partial 16S ribosomal RNA
Rfam family: Bacterial small subunit ribosomal RNA
Source: RNAcentral
GACGAACGCUGGCGGCGUGCUUAACACAUGCAAGUCGAACGAAGUGGCGAACGGGUGAGUAUUACGUGGGUAACCUGCCCUCCUUUUUUGGAUAAGCCUUGGAAACGGUGUCUACUACCGACUUAAGGGGGAUGGGCUCGCGGCCUUUCUGCUUGGUGGUGGGGUUCUGGCCUACCAAGGCGGUGACGGGUAGCCAGGCUGAGAGGGCGACCGGGCACAGUGGGACUGGGAUACGGCCCAGAGUACGACGGGGGGGAGCAGUGGGCGAUAUUGCACAAUGGGCGAAAGCCUGAUGCAGCGAGGCCGCGUGGGGGAUUAAGGCUUUCGGGUUGUAAAAGUGUGUCGGUAUCGAACGGGUAGGUGGAGAAGAAGCGCCGGCUAACUACGUGCCAGCAGCCGCGGUAAUAC